Molecule: ribosomal RNA, 99 nt
Filed under: Triticum aestivum (bread wheat)
Lineage: Eukaryota; Viridiplantae; Streptophyta; Magnoliopsida; Poales; Poaceae
Description: partial small subunit ribosomal RNA
Source: RNAcentral
AUGGAAAAUUGCAUUUUUGUAAUUGGCAAUAAUGCGAUGGGCGAUCGACGGCAAUUGAACCCGUGCAUGGUGGAUUCACAAUCCACUUGUCUAUACUGA